AACUUUCGACAACGGAUCACUUGGCUCUCGCAUCGAUGAAGAACGCAGCGAAAUGCGAUAAGUAAUGUGAAUUGCAGAAUUUCCGUGAGUCAUCGAAUCUUUGAACGCACCUUGCACCCUUUGGUAUUCCGAAGGGUAUGCCUGUUUGAGUGUCAUUAAAUUCUCAAGUCUUUCAAGUUUUUUCUUGGAUGAUUUGGAUUCUGAGGGUUAUGUUGGCUCUAGUAGUCAGACUCCCUUUAAAAAUAUUAGUGGCUUGUCGAUCCCCAUUAUUUGGUGUGAUAGCUCUAUCUACAUCAUAUGUAAUGGCAAGGUCAUGUAAUGGCAAUUUAGCUGCUCUCUAAUAGUCUAGAAAUAGACAAUUUGAACCAUUUGACCUCAAAUCAGGUAGGACUACCCGCUGAACUUAAGCAUAUCAAUAAGCGGAGGCU
RNAcentral lists this unclassified non-coding RNA (428 nucleotides) under uncultured Rectipilus. RNAcentral describes it as "sequence contains ITS2". The stretch from base 1 to 155 matches the Rfam family "5.8S ribosomal RNA". Lineage: Eukaryota; Fungi; Basidiomycota; Agaricomycetes; Agaricales; Cyphellaceae. The record is from RNAcentral.